This 519-nucleotide ribosomal RNA is filed under the name uncultured eukaryote. RNAcentral describes it as "SSU rRNA". It matches the Rfam family "Eukaryotic small subunit ribosomal RNA", at positions 1161 to 1707 of the family's 1831-position model. The record is from RNAcentral.
AGGGCACCACCAGGAGUGGAGCCUGCGGCUUAAUUUGACUCAACACGGGAAAACUUACCUGGUCCUGACACUAGAAGGAUUGACAGAUUGAUAGCUCUUUCUUGAUUUGGUGGAUGGUGGUGCAUGGCCGUUCUUAGUUGGUGGAGUGAUUUGUCUGGUUAAUUCCGAUAACGAACGAGACUCUAGCCUAUUAAAUAACACACAGAAUCUUGUCUUCUGUGGCGUUUCUUAAUGGGAUCAAGUGUGUUUAACGCUUUGAAACAGAGCAAUUACAGGUCUGUGAUGCCCUUAGAUGUUCGGGGCCGCACGCGCGCUACAUUGAGAGACAAAAUGAGUUUUCUAGUCUUUAAUAAGGCUAGUAAUCUUUGAAUGUUUUUCCUAAUGGGGAUAGGGGAUUGCAAUUGUGCCCCUUGAACGAGGAAUUCCCAGUAAGUGCUAGUCAUUAGCUAGUACUGAUUACGUCCCUGCCCUUUGUGCACACCGCCCGUCGCUACUACCGAUUGAAUGGUUUAGUGAGAU